GAUGAACGCUGGCGGCGUGCUUAACACAUGCAAGUCGAACGGAGUGCCUUUGAAAGAGGAUUCGUCCAAUUGAUAAGGUUACUUAGUGGCGGACGGGUGAGUAACGCGUGAGGAACCUGCCUCAAAGAGGGGGACAACAGUUGGAAACGACUGCUAAUACCGCAUAAGCCCACGACCCGGCAUCGGGUUGAGGGAAAAGGAGUGAUCCGCUUUGAGAUGGCCUCGCGUCCGAUUAGCUAGUUGGUGAGGUAACGGCCCACCAAGGCGACGAUCGGUAGCCGGACUGAGAGGUUGAACGGUCACAUUGGGACUGAGACACGGCCCAG
RNAcentral lists this ribosomal RNA (326 nucleotides) under uncultured bacterium. RNAcentral's name for it is "bacterial SSU rRNA". It matches the Rfam family "Bacterial small subunit ribosomal RNA", at positions 28 to 334 of the family's 1533-position model. The record is from RNAcentral.